UGUACCAAAGGAAAAAUUUUAGAAUGCAACGGAUAUAUUGGUGACGUAGUGUAACAAACUAAUCAAAAAUCUUCUUUUAGAGAUAUAUAUCCCAUCAUGAUUAUAAAAAAGUAUUUUUAUUGUACUUUUGUUUGAAAAAAAGAAAUAUGAUUGGCUUAUUAUGGAUGACGUGAUAUAAGUGUGAUAGUUAGAAUUCCCCGUACCAAAGGGACUAUUAGUCUAUUAUAAGGUGUAUCAACACACACAUAGAUAUACUGACUGUUUCCAGCACAAAUGACAAAAAAAUUAGUGGUUGGCAUUCGAAAUUUCAAGUUUGAAAUCUAAUUGCUUUAUAUUUUUAGCUAAGUUUAUUUUUUAAAAAAUAAACGAAGCGAAUAGCAUGCUACCUUUCUUUUUUAAAAAAAAAAACACACAUAAAUAUAUGUGACGCUCCACUUCCUAAGAAGUCACUCAUUCUAGAACUACUCUGGCUAUAGUACGCUUAAUUCUCUUAAUCUGAAUGAAAAGAUAAAGUGAUUGAUGAAAAAUAUUUCGUACCAUCGGGAUGUAAAACUAAAUUUUGUCUACAUUUCUAAAUUAUUAUUAUAAAAUUUUAAAUUAUGUAAUUUUUUAUCUAUAACUUUUUAUAUGAUUUAUAUUGUAUAUAUUAAAAAUAAAUUUUAAUUUUAUAAU
This 672-nucleotide long non-coding RNA is filed under the name Ananas comosus (pineapple). Its description in RNAcentral is "long non-coding RNA (ACOM_LNC008450)". Lineage: Eukaryota; Viridiplantae; Streptophyta; Magnoliopsida; Poales; Bromeliaceae. The record is from RNAcentral.